UCUUCGUUGCAAUUAAAUUUUUUAAUUAUUUUACAACUUUUUAAUGUUGCACAGAAAAUUGCAUACUAAAAACUCUUCCAACGAAAGGCGAACGCGGAACUGUGACUAUUAUUUGACCCACGUCGUAAUGGGCACGAACAAGCCAGAGCGACCCGCAAACGCAGUGAACGAACAAAUGUAUAGGAUAUGUUGGAUGACGGGUGGCUGGCUGCUUGGCAGGUUGGAUGCAACGACCCAGCUAACGACUAGUCAAACGGCCGACCGGCUGAAGAAACGAAUAGCCGAAGGUAAAUAAUAACAACAACAACAGUGUGUGGUGUAGAAAACGAGAUUAAGAUUUUGAGCGCAAAAAUGCAAAACAAAAACAAAUAAUAUAUAUAUAUGAGGCGUUUCGUUACAAUUACAUAUAUAUGAGACUGUAAGUAUAACCAAAGGCCUCGUACUCCUCAACUAGGUGGCUACACCCCCGGCUACUUAGUGGUUUUAAUGACACCACCUCUACGCUCACUAAUUAGGAGAAUGUCAGUGAACAAGAGAAAUUUGUAUUACUCAUGAACAAAUAAUUAAGAACUAAUAAAUAUAUUAAAUGGUGAAAGAGCAAAGCAGUUAAAAUAUGCAUCAACCCAGACGAAAAGUUAAAAGUAUUUACAAAAACAAUUCACAAAUGUCUAAACGGCAAACUUUGGCUUUUCCUCAACUUCUUUGCGUCGCAGAUCAUUGAGUACACAAAUUGACUGUGAAAUGUGUUGGAGAAACUUACACCAAAAUAUGCGAAAGUGUGUAUGGAGGAGGUGGACAAUAAAGACGUACGUAAGCUGGCACGUUUAGCUUUAACGCAAUAGUACAAGAUUAAGAUAAAUAAUAUACAAGUAUGCCAAAAAUGCAGACUGAGACAAGUGUGGCGAUAACUCUAUUGGCAGCAAAGCAUAAUUUGUUUGGGGCAAAUUAACGAAACUAUGCGAAAAACUAAUCAAAGCGAAAAUUGAAAUUAAAAUCAAAAAAUCCAGUAUUGAUGGCUGAUACUACUCACAGUAAUAGUAUGUGGAAAUAUUUAUUUUCGAUAGUUUAAAAGUUUAUUAAUAUCUCACUAUUCUGUAAUCUACGAAGAUGUCUGCAAUGAAGGAUAUGUUUAUUAAGUGUGUGCUGAAGCGCAACUAUAAUUAUGUGCUAAAAAACUUAAUUCAACCUGAAUCUUCAUAGCAAAGAAAGCUCAAUAGAGGAGAGUGCAUAAGCCAUAGAUUUUUACACAAAUACAUAUGUAUGUACAUACAUGUGUUGUUGUCGCAGUGCUGAGCGUGAUUAAAUGAAUGAAGGUUGCAGCAGAAAGCUGCAUAACAGAAAUAGGUUAGUGUUAUUAGUGAGUGUUGCGUUGGUGUAGAAUAAAUAAGGUUAGUAACAGGGUUGCCAUUAGGCAAGGCAAACUGUUAAAAAAUUUGAUAUAUCAUUCUUUUCCAAACUACACUAAAAUACUUUCAUUAUUUUUUUAUAAACCCACUAUAAAU
Long non-coding RNA from Bactrocera dorsalis (oriental fruit fly), 1502 nucleotides. RefSeq lists it as uncharacterized. The record is from RefSeq and is a predicted model, not a curated record. Lineage: Eukaryota; Metazoa; Arthropoda; Insecta; Diptera; Tephritidae. The transcript is spliced from 2 exons.